UGCCAUGAUGUCGUAAUUUGCGCCUUACCCUGUGCCCAGGGACAGUUGCCUGCUGUCAGAAUCCUGGCACGGGUGGUUGACGACCCAUUAAUGCUGAGCA
Small nucleolar RNA from Camarhynchus parvulus, 100 nucleotides. Its record names the gene SNORD16. It matches the Rfam family "Small nucleolar RNA SNORD16". From Rfam's summary of the family: U16 is a member of the C/D class of snoRNA which contain the C (UGAUGA) and D (CUGA) box motifs. NCBI's taxonomy places the organism in Eukaryota, Metazoa, Chordata, Aves, Passeriformes, Thraupidae. The record is from Ensembl.